This 497-nucleotide ribosomal RNA is filed under the name uncultured bacterium. Its description in RNAcentral is "partial 16S ribosomal RNA". It matches the Rfam family "Bacterial small subunit ribosomal RNA", at positions 28 to 507 of the family's 1533-position model. The record is from RNAcentral.
GAUGAACGCUGGCGGUGUGCCUAAUACAUGCAAGUCGAGCGAACGGACGAGAAGCUUUCUCCCCUGAUGUUAGCGGCGGACGGGUGAGUAACACGUGGAUAACCAUCCUAUAAGACUGGGAUAAUAUCGGGAAACCGGAGCUAAUACCGCAUAAUAUUUUGAACCGCAUGGUUCAAAAGUGAAAGACGGUCUUGCCGUCUCUUUUAGAUGGAUCCGCGCUGCAUUGGCUAGUUGGUAAGGUAACGGCUAACCAAGGCAACGAUGCAUAGCUGACCUGAGAGGAUGAUCGGCCACACUGGAACUGAGACACGGUCCAGACUCCUACGGGAGGCAGCAGUAGGGAAUCUUCCGCAAUGGGCGAAAGCCUGACGGAGCAACGCCGCGUGGGUGAUGAAGGUCUUCGGAUCGUAAAACUCUGUUAUUAGGGAAGAACAUAUGUAUAAGUAACUGUGCACAUCUUGACGGUACCUAAACAGAAAGCCACGGCUAACUUCGUG